RNAcentral lists this transfer RNA (69 nucleotides) under Heterocephalus glaber (naked mole-rat). It matches the Rfam family "tRNA". From Rfam's summary of the family: Transfer RNA (tRNA) molecules are approximately 80 nucleotides in length. Their secondary structure includes four short double-helical elements and three loops (D, anti-codon, and T loops). Lineage: Eukaryota; Metazoa; Chordata; Mammalia; Rodentia; Bathyergidae. The record is from Rfam by way of RNAcentral.
AGAGAUGUAGCUUAGUGGUAGAGCACCUGCCUAGCAUGCAUGAGGCUGUAGGUUUGAUCUCUAUUACUG